AACCAGCACCGGAUCACACCUAAAACUUAUAGUAGAUGCUUUCCUUCAACAGCUCCCAAAUUGUGUAAAUAGAGACCUAAUAGACAAGGCAGCGAUGGAUUUUUGCAUGAAUAUGAACACCAAGGCUAACAGAAGGAAGUUAGUCCGUGCCCUUUUCAUAGUUCCUCGGCAGAGGCUAGAUUUGCUGCCUUUUUAUGCCCGACUGGUUGGGACAUUGCACCCCUGUAUGUCCGACGUAGCAGAAGAUCUCUGUUCCAUGCUGAAGGGGGACUUCAGAUU
This is a long non-coding RNA of Protobothrops mucrosquamatus (brown spotted pit viper), 279 nucleotides long. RefSeq lists it as uncharacterized. The record is from RefSeq and is a predicted model, not a curated record. The transcript has 3 exons. Lineage: Eukaryota; Metazoa; Chordata; Lepidosauria; Squamata; Viperidae.